GAUGGACGCUGGCGGCGUGCCUAAUACAUGCAAGUCGAGCGAACGGACGAGAAGCUUGCUUCUCUGAUGUUAGCGGCGGACGGGUGAGUAACACGUGGAUAACCUACCUAUAAGACUGGGAUAACUUCGGGAAACCGGAGCUAAUACCGGAUGAUAUUUUGAACCGCAUGGUUCAAAAGUGAAAGACGGUCUUGCUGUCACUUAUAGAUGGAUCCGCGCUGCAUUAGCUAGUUGGUAAGGUAACGGCUUACCAAGGCAACGAUGCAUAGCCGACCUGAGAGGGUGAUCGGCCACACUGGAACUGAGACACGGUCCAGACUCCUACGGGAGGCAGCAGUAGGGAAUCUUCCGCAAUGGGCGAAAGCCUGACUGAGCAACGCCGCGUGAGUGAUGAAGGUCUUCGGAUCGUAAAACUCUGUUAUUAGGGAAGAACAUAUGUGUAAGUAACUGUGCACAUCUUGACGGUACCUAAUCAGAAAGCCACGGCUAACUACGUG
Molecule: ribosomal RNA, 497 nt
Filed under: uncultured bacterium
Lineage: Bacteria
Description: partial 16S ribosomal RNA
Rfam family: Bacterial small subunit ribosomal RNA
Source: RNAcentral